Molecule: long non-coding RNA, 782 nt
Filed under: Rattus norvegicus (Norway rat)
Lineage: Eukaryota; Metazoa; Chordata; Mammalia; Rodentia; Muridae
Description: long non-coding RNA NONRATT004784
Source: RNAcentral
GAUGAUUUUUUAAAAAAAAAAUCAGAGCAGACCUAAAUAAUUGUAUUUAAGAAUUUUCUGAGAUUAAAUACGGCCUAGGGUUGGACACAGUGGCAUGCAGCUGUCUUCAGCUACUCUGGAAGCUGAAGUAGGAGAGUCACUUGUCCUUGGGAGAUUGACACAACCUAUGCAGCAUUGUGAAUCCCUGACUCAAAAACAUACUUACUCUGGAUAAUAAGUCAUGGCUUUGUUUUAAAAGUUUAUGACCAAAGUAACAAGAAAAUCCUGUUGGAUGCCAAAAAGAAAAGAAACAAGCCACUGUAUAAAAAUCAGCAUUUUCUCAGGAGAGCCUCAGUGCCCUCUCUACCCUGUUCUCAGUUCUCUUGAAACAGAAUUGUUUUGUUGCUUUUCCUUUUUGUUUGUUGAUAUAGAGUCUGACUACAUAGCUCAAUCUGUCCUUGAACUCUUGCCUCUUGAGAACUGGAAUUAUAGGCAUGUGAACCACACCUGUCUAGAAUGUCAUAGCUGCACCAAGAAGAUGGGUUAGGCUGUGGACGGUAAACAGCACUGUGGGUUAAUACACAUGAAACAAAUCAUCCAAAGUAUAGAGACUGUUAUUUCGAUUGAGGCUAGAAAGUCUUUAUAUAAAAAGGACACUUUUACCACUACUAGCUCCUUUCUUUCUACCCCUUAAGGGGUGACUUGAGUUAGUAAAAGGAAGCUAGCAUUGAGCCAAUGUGGUGAUGCACACCUUCAGUCCCAGCACUAGAAGAGCUGAAGAAGGGGAAGCUCUUAUAAGGCCA